Molecule: unclassified non-coding RNA, 253 nt
Filed under: uncultured Syntrophobacteraceae bacterium
Lineage: Bacteria; Pseudomonadati; Thermodesulfobacteriota; Syntrophobacteria; Syntrophobacterales; Syntrophobacteraceae
Description: contains 16S-23S intergenic spacer region
Rfam family: Bacterial small subunit ribosomal RNA
Source: RNAcentral
UACGGAGGGUGCAAGCGUUGUUCAGAAUUAUUGGGCGUAAAGAGCGUGUAGGCGGUUAGGAAAGUCAGAUGUGAAAGCCCUGGGCUCAACCCAGGAAGUGCAUUUGAAACUGUCUGACUUGAGUACGGGAGAGGAGAGGGGAAUUCCCGGUGUAGAGGUGAAAUUCGUAGAUAUCGGGAGGAAUACCGGUGGCGAAGGCGCCUCUCUGGACCGAUACUGACGCUGAGACGCGAAAGCGUGGGGAGCAAACAGG